UGGGGAAUAUUGCACAAUAGGCGCAAGCCUGAUGCAGCCAUGCCGCGUGUAUGAAGAAGGCCUUCGGGUUGUAAAGUACUUUCAGCGGGGAGGAAGGUGUUGAGGUUAAUAACCUCAGCAAUUGACGUUACCCGCAGAAGAAGCACCGGCUAACUCCGUGCCAGCAGCCGCGGUAAUACGGAGGGUGCAAGCGUUAAUCGGAAUUACUGGGCGUAAAGCGCACGCAGGCGGUCUGUCAAGUCGGAUGUGAAAUCCCCGGGCUCAACCUGGGAACUGCAUUCGAAACUGGCAGGCUAGAGUCUUGUAGAGGGGGGUAGAAUUCCAGGUGUAGCGGUGAAAUGCGUAGAGAUCUGGAGGAAUACCGGUGGCGAAGGCGGCCCCCUGGACAAAGACUGACGCUCAGGUGCGAAAGCGUGGGGAGCAAACA
RNAcentral lists this ribosomal RNA (427 nucleotides) under uncultured bacterium. RNAcentral describes it as "partial 16S ribosomal RNA". It matches the Rfam family "Bacterial small subunit ribosomal RNA", at positions 355 to 774 of the family's 1533-position model. The record is from RNAcentral.